UUGGUUUCUAAGUUUGAACAGACAGAACAUUCCAGAUUAAAUGAAAAUAACAGAAAUCAUCUCUGUAAGUGUGAUGGAGUCUGAAAUUGGAUUAACCUUCCAUUCUAAAACAAGCUUCAUCUGUCUCCCUUCCAGAAGCAAAUAUAAAUCAGCAUUUCCAGGGCAUGUGGCAAUGAGAGAGGACAAGGCUCACACCUGGCAGCCAUACCAAGUACAGGACAUCCAUAAAGGUGUACGCCAAGGCUCAGGGCCUUCUCUGCACAAGAAACAUCCCAGGCUUUGGGACCUCUCGGCACAUAGGAGCACACCCAGGUCUGGCCUCAAAGAGUGAGACCCUGUCAGACCCUGUCAACUGGGGGAGCACACCUAACGACCAGACAGCCAGCCACACAGCACACUGGAGGCAUCUGGAGUCCUUGCGCGGGGCCACAGUUCCCGCUGGGAGGACCCUCACCUUUUCCAGACCUCGGUCCUAGCAGUGAGGUAAACUCCAGUCCCUGGGAGGAUCUAUCGUGGCAAUGACUGCACCAGCUCUCGUCUGCCC
Long non-coding RNA from Zalophus californianus (California sea lion), 544 nucleotides. RefSeq lists it as uncharacterized. The transcript is spliced from 3 exons. The record is from RefSeq and is a predicted model, not a curated record. Lineage: Eukaryota; Metazoa; Chordata; Mammalia; Carnivora; Otariidae.